GGCCCGACUCCGGUUGAUCCUGCCGGAUCCGACUGCUAUCAGGGUGAGACUAAGCCAUGCGAGUCUACACUCUGGGCCACGACAGAGUGUGGCACACGGCUCAGUAAUACACGGUCAACCUACCCUUAGGACGCGGAUAACCGCGGGAAAGGUGAAUUGUAAUCCUAAACACUACAGUUCACCCUCGAGACUGCGGAUAAUCCGUGAUAGGGGAGAAUGCCUGGGAUGGUUUCUCCCCGAAAGGGCUUCAGAGUCAUGCCCUCUGAAGCCGCCUAAGGAUGGGAUCGUGCCCGAUCAGGUAGUUGGUGGGGUAACGGCCCACCAAGCCUAAGACCGGUGCGGGCCGUGAGAGCGGGAGCCCGGAGAUGGACCCUGAGACAAGGGUCCAGGCCCUACGGGGCGCAGCAGGCGCG
RNAcentral lists this ribosomal RNA (413 nucleotides) under Candidatus Bathyarchaeota archaeon. RNAcentral's name for it is "bacterial SSU rRNA". It matches the Rfam family "Archaeal small subunit ribosomal RNA", at positions 1 to 343 of the family's 1478-position model. Lineage: Archaea; Thermoproteati; Candidatus Bathyarchaeota. The record is from RNAcentral.